CUUCUCCUACAAUUCAACAACAUAUUAACAACAACAAACCCACUAAUUCAGUUUAAAAAUAGCACAAAGGACCUAAGUAGAUAUCUCCCUAAAGAAUGCAUGCAAGUCUAUGAAAGGAUGCUUGAUGCCACUCAUCAUUAGAAAAACAGCAGAAUCCCAGUGAUCUAUGACUUCUUCCCCCAUUUAAGAUGGUGUCUGCCAAAGACCACAAUUCAAACUAUAAAAAAGACAGCUGUUGGGGACACAACACGAAGGUCCUUGUGCCCAGAGACCUCCAGGAAAACCAGCAAUAUUAAGCAUAUAGGAUUGUCCUCUCAAAGGGAUGGUUGCAAUACCCGCUCUUCCAUCCAGAAAGCUGGGAGUGUAUGUGUUUGUGCAAUUACCUACAUGCAUGUAUGCGCACUGUGCUGUGCCUGGAGCUAAAGGAGGUCAGAAGAGGGCACUGGACCCCACAAACCUGCACUUACAGAUGGUUAUGGACUGCCAUCUGGGUGCUGGGAACUGGACCCGGGUCCUCUUAGAGAGCAACAAGUAUUCUUAACUGCUGUGCCAUCUCUCUAGUCAAGUGGAGCACACCCACUGCCCCACCUGCCCAAUGGGUACAGAGACUCAGUUUAGCAAGCAGAAAAACUUGCUAUUGUUGAGUUCUGAAACAGGGUCUCACUGUUUGCCCACGCUGGACUCAAACUGAUAGGCAAAAGAGAAGUUCCUACGUCCGGGUCCUGAACAGCUAAAACUUUCAGUGUUGCACUGUUCGCUGUGCUUGGCUUCGGGGCUACCACACAACAGCUUAAAGCAGAGUCCAUAUUACUACUCUGGACACUGACUAAGAAGGCGUAUGACUCACUGGGUAAAAAUUUCUGAGAAAACAGAUAUGACAUCGGUAAAAAAAAAAAAAAAAGAACCAUUAUAAUACCAAACCAUAAGCUGUGGUCUGCCUCAUGAAAGUGUUGUGUUCUCCAGGACUGAAGGCUGCUGGCUGGAGACAAAACCGACUUCAGACAAGGGUGUCAGAACCACCCGAGGACAUCUGAGAUGGUCUCCUGGUAGUCCCUGGAGAAGAACUACAUGGCAUUUGCCAACCUCCCAAUACUCGUGGCUUGGGGUCCUGGCCCAGCAGUUGCAGGCUGGAGGAGCAGGAGGCUUCCAGGUUGCAGAGGUUCCAUUAUCCGUUAUCCUCCUAGCUCCAAGGGCUUCUCAGAAGCAGACCUAGAAGAUCAAAGGCAGCAGCAGAGCUGGCCUGACUGCAUAGCCUAUCCAACCGCGAGAGAGACGUCCUGGUCUCAGGGAGGCUCCAGCUACGGUCUGGAGCUUCUAAACGUGCCUUACUGCCGAAACCUGCAACUCUGAGACGCAGCAAACUUGUCUUUGGCUCCCAUCCAAGAGUUCCACAGGCAUUAUUUGCAAGACUGUUGCAAGCUAUAGAAACAGCACCCUCUUGUGACCUGAGCAUGCCACACAGUCUCCAGAGAAAGACACUUCAGUCUUAGAACUGUGGCGAUCUCUGUCCCCACAACCCACAACCCACUCUCAUUUUCUUCCCUC
Molecule: long non-coding RNA, 1545 nt
Organism: Mastomys coucha (southern multimammate mouse)
Lineage: Eukaryota; Metazoa; Chordata; Mammalia; Rodentia; Muridae
Exons: 5
Source: RefSeq, a predicted model, not a curated record